CAGAUUGAUGGUUGGCAGCUGGAUC
Molecule: microRNA, 25 nt
Filed under: Eptesicus fuscus (big brown bat)
Lineage: Eukaryota; Metazoa; Chordata; Mammalia; Chiroptera; Vespertilionidae
Description: efu-miR-9339
Source: miRBase by way of RNAcentral